UUUGCGAAAGGUCCUCGAGCUCCCAGUGCUCGCUCUCGUCUUACCUUGCACCACCUUCGACAUAAACUUACUCCACUAGUAUAUAAGCUUGCCUGAUCUUCCCAAGCGAAUAUACCUCUGUCCUAUACCAUACGCCAACAGACAAGUGUCAAGAGGUAUAUCAUACAUAUAUCUCAUUGCUUAGUUAAACUACGGCUUUCUAUCUCGUCUCCAAGGCCGGACCUUGUUGGGGACGAGUCGUAACAGCUCGCUACUACAAGCUAAAUGAUAUAAUCCAUCCACCUCGCUAAUCUGUAAGCACACCAUCGAUGACUUGAUCUGACAUCAUGGCCUCUUUUCUAUAUUACCCAAUCUCCACUUCGCUACCAUCCUCUCAACAGAGAAGAACAUGAGAGACAGAAGGAACAGUUAAACUGGGGUGGUAGAGAUUAGAUUAGAAUAGCUGAGGAGAAGAGGAAGAAGAGAGGAAGAGAGAUGGUGAGAGGAAACCAGAUCAGAAGAGGCCCUCUGCAGGAGAUCAAAGUUGGAGGAAGGAAGAGGAAAAGGGUGCUCGAGGGGAGAAAAGGAUUGGUCAGCUAUGCACUUAGGAAAAGAUAUAUAAAGAGCUCUUGGCAUAGAUGAAAUGAAAGACAGCUUUCAUAUCUUUU
This 647-nucleotide small RNA is filed under the name Cryptococcus neoformans H99. RNAcentral's name for it is "Cryptococcus neoformans var. grubii H99 hypothetical RNA". The record is from RNAcentral. Lineage: Eukaryota; Fungi; Basidiomycota; Tremellomycetes; Tremellales; Cryptococcaceae.